UACGGAGGGUGCGAGCGUUAAUCGGAAUUACUGGGCGUAAAGCGCAUGCAGGUGGUUUGUUAAGUCAGAUGUGAAAGCCCGGGGCUCAACCUCGGAAUAGCAUUUGAAACUGGCAGACUAGAGUACUGUAGAGGGGGGUAGAAUUUCAGGUGUAGCGGUGAAAUGCGUAGAGAUCUGAAGGAAUACCGGUGGCGUAGGCGGCCCACUGGACAGAUACUGACUCUCAGAUGCGAAAGCGUGGGGAGCAAACAGC
This 253-nucleotide ribosomal RNA is filed under the name uncultured prokaryote. RNAcentral describes it as "partial 16S ribosomal RNA". It matches the Rfam family "Bacterial small subunit ribosomal RNA", at positions 524 to 776 of the family's 1533-position model. The record is from RNAcentral.